This 518-nucleotide ribosomal RNA is filed under the name uncultured bacterium. RNAcentral describes it as "partial 16S ribosomal RNA". It matches the Rfam family "Bacterial small subunit ribosomal RNA", at positions 355 to 863 of the family's 1533-position model. The record is from RNAcentral.
UAGGGAAUCUUCGGCAAUGGGGGCAACCCUGACCGAGCAACGCCGCGUGAGUGAAGAAGGUUUUCGGAUCGUAAAGCUCUGUUGUAAGUCAAGAACGGGUGUGAGAGUGGAAAGUUCACACUGUGACGGUAGCUUACCAGAAAGGGACGGCUAACUACGUGCCAGCAGCCGCGGUAAUACGUAGGUCCCGAGCGUUGUCCGGAUUUAUUGGGCGUAAAGCGAGCGCAGGCGGUUUGAUAAGUCUGAAGUUAAAGGCUGUGGCUCAACCAUAGUUCGCUUUGGAAACUGUCAAACUUGAGCGCAGAAGGGGAGAGUGGAAUUCCAUGUGUAGCGGUGAAAUGCGUAGAUAUAUGGAGGAACACCGGUGGCGAAAGCGGCUCUCUGGUCUGUAACUGACGCUGAGGCUCGAAAGCGUGGGGAGCGAACAGGAUUAGAUACCCUGGUAGUCCACGCCGUAAGCGAUGAGUGCUAGGUGUUGGAUCCUUUUCGGGGAUUCAGUGCCGCAGCUAACGCAUUAA